RNAcentral lists this non-coding RNA (29 nucleotides) under Cricetulus griseus (Chinese hamster). Lineage: Eukaryota; Metazoa; Chordata; Mammalia; Rodentia; Cricetidae. The record is from RNAcentral.
UACCUGGUGACAGAGGUGGAGAACGGUGG